Molecule: ribosomal RNA, 427 nt
Filed under: uncultured Alcaligenaceae bacterium
Lineage: Bacteria; Pseudomonadati; Pseudomonadota; Betaproteobacteria; Burkholderiales; Alcaligenaceae
Description: bacterial SSU rRNA
Rfam family: Bacterial small subunit ribosomal RNA
Source: RNAcentral
UGGGGAAUUUUGGACAAUGGGGGCAACCCUGAUCCAGCCAUCCCGCGUGUGCGAUGAAGGCCUUCGGGUUGUAAAGCACUUUUGGCAGGGAAGAAAAGGCUCUGGCUAAUACCUGGAGCUGCUGACGGUACCUGCAGAAUAAGCACCGGCUAACUACGUGCCAGCAGCCGCGGUAAUACGUAGGGUGCAAGCGUUAAUCGGAAUUACUGGGCGUAAAGCGUGCGCAGGCGGUUUGGCAAGAAGGAUGUGAAAUCCCAGGGCUUAACCUUGGAACUGCAUUCUUAACUGCCAGGCUAGAGUAUGUCAGAGGGGGGUAGAAUUCCACGUGUAGCAGUGAAAUGCGUAGAGAUGUGGAGGAAUACCGAUGGCGAAGGCAGCCCCCUGGGAUAAUACUGACGCUCAUGCACGAAAGCGUGGGGAGCAAACA